RNAcentral lists this ribosomal RNA (819 nucleotides) under uncultured fungus. Its description in RNAcentral is "eukaryotic LSU rRNA". The stretch from base 452 to 819 matches the Rfam family "Eukaryotic large subunit ribosomal RNA", at positions 1 to 366 of the family's 3401-position model. The record is from RNAcentral. Lineage: Eukaryota; Fungi.
AUGCUUGCACGGCGACGGCCUUAAAACGCCAAAUGGCACCCUUUGUUUAUGAGUACCGUUCGUUUCCUCGGUGGGCUCGCCUGCCUUGAGGACCAACAAUAACCUUUGCAGUAGCAGUAUCUUCAGUUAAAAUAAAUAUUAAAACUUUCAACAACGGAUCUCUUGGUUCUGGCAUCGAUGAAGAACGCAGCGAAAUGCGAUAAGUAGUGUGAAUUGCAGAAUUCAGUGAAUCAUCGAAUCUUUGAACGCACAUUGCGCCCUUCGGUAUUCCGUUGGGCAUGCCUGUUCGAGCGUCAUUUAAUCAAUCAAGCCCUGCUUGGUGUUGGGUGUUUGUUCCGCCUCGGUGCGUGGACUCGCCUUAAAUUCAUUGGCAGCCGGUAUGUUGGCUUCGUGCGCAGCACAUUGCGUCGCGAUUCUGGCAGACCCCCUCCCAUUAAGCUCCUUUCUAGUUUGACCUCGGAUCAGGUAGGGAUACCCGCUGAACUUAAGCAUAUCAAUAAGCGGAGGAAAAGAAACCAACAGGGAUUGCCCCAGUAACGGCGAGUGUAGCGGCAAUAGCUCAAAUUUGAAAUCUGGCUCUUUCAGGGUCCGAGUUGUAAUUUGCAGAGGGCGCUUUGGCGUCGACAGCAGCCUAAGUUCCUUGGAACAGGUCAUCAUAGAGGGUGAGAAUCCCGUAUGUGGCUGCUUGUCUUCGCCGUGUAAAGCCCCUUCGAUGAGUCGAGUUGUUUGGGAAUGCAGCUCUAAAUGGGAGGUAAAUUUCUUCUAAAGCUAAAUAUUGGCCAGAGACCGAUAGCGCACAAGUAGAGUGAUCGAAAGAUG